RNAcentral lists this long non-coding RNA (3915 nucleotides) under Salmo salar (Atlantic salmon). RNAcentral describes it as "lncRNA (ENSSSAG00000087074.1)". The record is from RNAcentral. Lineage: Eukaryota; Metazoa; Chordata; Actinopteri; Salmoniformes; Salmonidae.
CGAAGGCACUGUAUGUAACUGUGUCUCAAUGUAAUCAAGGUAUGAAAUUAUUAUUAUUUUCAAAUACAAUCUUCUUUUGGGCUUAGUUGUGGUCAACUUGCAGUGUACAAAUUAUUAUAACAAUGUUCUGGUCCCCAACCAUCCGCUCCAAACAAAAAUAGUCCCGCAGCAGAAUCUUGUUGCCUACUCCUGCCCUACCCAGGGCUGUUCCUGGAGGGCCGAAACACUUCUGGUUUUCAUCCUCUCCCUAUAUAGUGUACUUUGUGAAAGCUAUUGGUACAUGAAACGCCUUAAGUAAGGAACACAUCUCUACUUUGUCCUUCAGACCCCCUAUUCCUGCAACAACAAAAAAAGGCACGUCUUACGAUACUGUGGAUUUGUAAAGGAAUAUAAAUAUAUUGUACAAAUACAUCACGCAAUGUGUUAAAAACACUAAAUCAUGACCUAUAUGUGAAAAUAUAUUAAUGAAAUGUAAGAUAGAUGUAUGCAUAUUUCAUUUUUCCUCUAUAAAGUAUACAUGAGAUAUAGUUAUAUUUGAUCAUGUCAAAUACAAAAGAAGCCCGUUCCAAGGAGUGGGUGAUUGAGUGUUUGAGUUGUGUUUUUCCUGUUUAAAAGACUGCAGCUAUAGUGUGUAUUAUUGGGCUUCGGGGGAGACUGCACACUAUGCUGUGAGUAGCACCAUCAACAGAUGAAAUACAAUGCUGUUUUAUUUCUUCUUCUUCUUCUUAACCUUUACUUUAUCCAGGUUUUUGGAAACAGACCUGGUUGGAUUGAGGUUUGCUUUAGUGCUUCAUCAAUAAUGUUGAAUCAACGUUGAAACAAUGAUGUAUGUUGGUUUGUGUGUCGCUUUGCGUUCAGGACCCUGGCCAUGGCUGGUCUGAUAGCCCUGUAGCACAAGGAGAGAGAGAGAGUUGUGUUGUUGAACACAACAUUAUACUAUACACUGGACUGGUGUGUGUUAUGUGUGACCUCACAGGUUAGAAUCGUACUCUUUCUUAAAACUCUCCUGUUUGCUAGUUCAUGUCAAAGAAGCAUGCUGCAUAAAGACUGUGACCCCCCCACUUUGCUUCGAGGCAUCUAUCUCUCCUCUCCUCUUUUUCUCUCCCCUUCUCCCUCAUUCCCUCUCUCUCUAUUGAAUGUGAAGAUGCUACUCAAACACACGGUUGGUCAUAAUGUGGGGUCUAGGCCUAUUGUCCCUGAAUGAUUCUAUAGCUACUGAUCCGCUUGCUCCUACCACCCCACAGACAUUUUCAGCAUCUAUAUUUUGUAUAUUUUUGUAUUCAUUUUUCUUACCUUUACAGACGAGUUAGGGUUGAAAAAUCUGCAUGCUUCAUUUUGGCGCUAUAACGAAUGGUUGCGACGCACUGCGUCACCAUUUUUUUUUUUUUUACGUUUCCAAUAUAGGAAGAUGAUGAAAUGUUGUUUUUAUGAGUUGCUGCAGACAUGAAUUAUAUGUGAUUAUAUAUCAUAUAAAUAUAUGAUAAUGAUGAGUGUAUCAAGAGGCUGGACAGCCUUGGAGACGAGAGUGUAGAUAAAAUGUUCACAAUAUUUUUAACUAAUGUUAAAAAGAGAGCCUUUUUUUGUAAAUGUACCUUGUGUUCAAUAAUACUGCUGUAUCGAUUGAUAUGACAUCAUGGAUAUUGUAAAUAGCUCAACCAGCCAUCUGUCCUGUUCAGUUAGAUCUCCAGGUUGUAGCGCAAUUGUCUAAUCCCCCCCGCAUUCAGUAUUCUCUUUUUUUAUCAAGGGAAAAAAACUUCAAAAGUAUAUUGCAAAAUGUAAAUGACUAUGUUGACUCUGAGAGGUUUUGGAUGAUGUCUGGUGUGGUGAGAGAGAAACACAAGCACAAAACCCCAUUUGUCAUCAGCCCAGCUCUGCACUUUUACAAUGGAGGUUUUAAGCAUUGAUAGAGCUGGAUUCAAACCUUAUCGGAUUUAAAUUCAAAGGCAAUGUUCCCGCGUUCGCAGAGACUUACUUACUUACUUAGGCCCAUCUCUCCUUUGGGAGCUUCCUUGUGGGUUCCAGUAUAGCGCUUGCCUGGUGAUGUUGGAGGGGAACUUUCGGAGGGUGUGGCCGAUCCAUCCCCAUCUUCUCCUCCGGAUCUCCUCUUCCACCGGAACCUGGCUGGUGCGCUCCCACAGGUCAAUGUUACUGACUCUGUCCAUCCAUCUGAUGUUAAGGAUGCGUCGCAGGCACUUGUUUACGAAGCUCUGAGUUGUUGUUAUUGUGGGUUUUGUUGUCCUCCAUUUUUCUGAGCCAUACAGCAUCACUGACUUAACAUUGGUGUUGAAAGUGUUUGUGUUUUUAUUUUCCUGGAGCUCCAGAUGUUUCUUUGGGAGAUGAAGGCUACUCUUGCUUUUUGAAUUCUGGCCUUACGUCCUGCUCGGUUUCGCCAUGUUUGGUGAUGCACAGGUAGGUGAAAAAACUGGCAUCCUCCAGUGGUUCUUCUCCGAGGGUGAUUGGAUUGUUAGAUUCGUUGUUGAUCGUUAUCUUGGUUUUGUUUCUGUGGAUAUGGAGUCUUUGUUGGGAUGGUGUGGUGUCCAGGUCUGACGUUUUAUCUUGCAUUUGCUGUUGACUGUGUGACAGGAGUGCUAGAUCCUCCGCAAAGUUGAGGUCGUCCAACUGUGUCCAUAGAGACCAUUGUAUGCCAUGUCACCUGUUCUCGGUUGUCUUCCUCAUGAUCCAGUCAAUGGCUAACAGGAAAAGGAAGGGUGACAGGAGACAUCCCUGUUUUUCUCCAGUCAGGACUCUGAAGAGUGUGCUAAGCUUGCCGGCAUGCACAACCCUGCAUGUUAUGCCAUUAUAGGUAGUGCAGAUCAUUCUGGAAAGCUUCUCUGGUACACCAUAGUGUCUGAGGAGCCUCCAUAGGGCGUCUCUGUGUCUAGGCUGUCAAAUGCUUUCUCAUAGUCCACGAAGUUGACAUACAGGGAAGAGUUUCAGUCAAUGGAUUGCUCAAAUGUAAUGCGGAGCGUGGCACUUUCGUGGAAACUGCAUUUACCUGUAAACGCUGCAUAUGUCUGCUCAAUUGGAAAUGAUCUAGACAUUUUAACGUGGAUCUUCCGCGAUACGGAUUGAAUCCAGCCCCUAGUCUACGUUCCAUAAACACACCCCUGUCUUUUGGACUGCAGAAGUGUGCACUCCUGGCUUGAUCAGCCAUGUCGUGGAGUGUACUACUGGGUGCAAUACUCAUAUAAUUUGCUCACUCAAUUUACUUCAAUUGUCUAUUUUAUGCCCAGCAUUUUUAGGGGAAAAGAGAUUACUGACUGUUGUAGAGAGGACUUAAUGAAGUCAAGACUUCUGUCUUUAGGGGUGUGUUCUCUGUAGUCCUCUGUGUAGUCUCUACCUCUAAAGGGAAACAGGAAAUUGAAAAUGCCAACUUUCCCAAAUCAGCUAGUUUAAUACUGGUUUAAACUGUCAUUAUCUAUUAGUGUUACCAAUGCCUCAUAGCAUAAUGCCACUUCCAUAGAAAUAGGGAAUGCAAUGUCCUUCAUUUGGCUAUCAAUUCUAAAUCCUCUGUAUGUUUCUGGUCACGUCCCACCUCUGUUCCACCUUCAUUAAGUUGUUAAAGAAUGUAGGAGAGGAGAGUCAGAGAGAGAAAUGUGAUGAUGAUGUCUCUGUAGCCACACACACACACAAUUAUACAGGACAUACAGUGCAGUUACAGCCAGUGGGAAAAAAAUACUAUAAACUAAAUAUAUCUAUAAAUAAAGUAAAAGAUGUAUGUUUUCUAAUAUCUUGUAGAAAAUGCUUUUGUAAUGAUGUUGAAAGUAAAGUAUUUGCUGGAUUCUGCUUCCUUGGACAACAGUGACAAAACAAUAAUGUACAGAGGAAUUUGUCUGUGUUGACGAUAUAUAUAUAUAAAAAAAACAAUGUGGCUGUGCAAUUUAUGUACAUUUGCAACUAGACUUAUUAAAGUUU